Long non-coding RNA from Frieseomelitta varia, 1806 nucleotides. RefSeq lists it as uncharacterized. The transcript is spliced from 2 exons. NCBI's taxonomy places the organism in Eukaryota, Metazoa, Arthropoda, Insecta, Hymenoptera, Apidae. The record is from RefSeq and is a predicted model, not a curated record.
AAGAAAAAAAAAAAAAUUAAAAGAAUUAAACUCGUGGAAUUUUUUAAUACUAGAACUACCAAAGUGGUCGAAAUUGGCCAAUUUAUGAUUUCUUGUUAGAAACGUUAGACAUGGAAUGAUGUAUUUUUAAAAAUUUAGACAAUUUUUCGAAAAUUGUGCAAAUACAAGCUUGUGUGAUUUGUUGCAUUGUAAAGCUUUUCCAUUCUCUUAUUUUAACGUUUCUGGAUGGAAAUUUUGUGCUUUGGUCGUCGGUGUUUUUCAGUUCUAGUUAAGUUUCAAUAGAUUUGUAGUUGACUGGUGUAGGUAAAAGUGCUCCGUUUCACGUUUUUGUAAGUUCCCCUUCAGAAAAUAUUCUCGUCAUUCCCUCGAGGAGAUCUCGUUCGUAAAUCGACUCGCGAACCAUCGUCGUCAGAGUUGAACGGUUGAGGAAAGAUAAUAAGAAUCGAGGUUGCAAAGCUGUCCAACGAGAAGGAACUCGCCAGGAAACCCUGUUCUCGUAGGUGCCUAUCGAAGCUACCGACAAAGAACGGUGUGUGUACGUGCACGGAGCGUCGUCUCGAUCGAUUUCUCGAAGAGAAUCGAAGAUGGCAGAGAUGAAGGAGCGCGAUUGGUGUCCGCGUCGAAGAUACAUACCGACAAGACGAGUCGUUGUCGAGUAGUGCCGUGAGAAAGAAGGGCAACGCGACGAAAGAGGAUAUGAUAAACAUGUGAUAUUACGAUUUUUUAUAUAUAUCAGCUACUUUGCAAUAACGGAUUAUCGCCGUACUCGAGCGGAGAACGUCGCGACACGGGUCGUCGUUGUCGACAUCGUCGUCGUCGUCGUCGUUGACUUUCAUUCCGUCAACGACAGGUUUACGAACAAGUGAAGCUUCAAGUUUUCAGUUCUUCGUCAGAUUUCCGCUUCGUUACGUUUCGUGAUCAAAUCUGUGCCUGUGCCUAUGUCAAGGAUUUUGCUUGAAUUUAAUCUCGUAAUUUUUUUUUUUUUUUUUCUUGGAGAAGUAUGAAAGACUAAAGGACGUUUUUCUUUCUUGUUAAAAAGAAAAGAAGAAAAAGCAAAAGUUACGCGACAACGACUGUGAUCGCCACGACGAUCGAAGAAGCCGUGAUCGUACCGAAUUUUUUUGUGAAGAUGAUCAAGAGAGUCUAUAUAUAGUAGCUAUCCGGCGGAAUAACAAAGAAAUAAAGAAAAAAAAUAUAUAUAUAUUAUUAUUAUAAUCAUUAUUAUGAUUACUAUUAGAACAAAAAGAAAAAAAAAGGGGGGGGGGUAAGAACAAAUUUUUGCUAUAACUAAACACUUCGUCCAUUUUUCUAUAUGGGCAAUUCGUUGCACUGUAAUCAAGUCCUCGGCCUUGUAAAUUCUGUCCUUGUCACAUUUCCGGAAAACUGCUCUCCGAUGAUCGAACCGUCACGAGGGAUCGAUCGCCUCCUCGCGACCGUCGCUCAACUUUACCCGACUUCACACGUGACUCUUUCGAAGGACAAUUUCAGAUCAAUGGCUUCUCACCGAUAGAAAAUAGCGUUUCAACGAACAUAACCUCUCCCGUACUCGGCUUGUUUUCAUUUGUAACUCGAGACGCCGUUGCCUCGCGAGGGAAACGUAAACGAACAACGCGAACGUAAACAAAGUGCAAGAGGCGAUCGAGAAGCUUCUCCGAAUCUUCGAUUUUUCCACUUUUUCUAUCGACAGGACGGGAAAUCAAAUGAAAAUAAAGCGAGAUCCGUAAAUUCGCGAACGACGAUCGAUCCCCGUGGCGGUUGAUAAUCGACGAGAUCAUCCCCCGAGCUGUUCGCCUACUCUCGCGGAAA